Marmota flaviventris (yellow-bellied marmot) is the source of this 1373-nucleotide long non-coding RNA. RefSeq lists it as uncharacterized. NCBI's taxonomy places the organism in Eukaryota, Metazoa, Chordata, Mammalia, Rodentia, Sciuridae. The record is from RefSeq and is a predicted model, not a curated record.
GGCGCGGGCGCAGGCACGUCCCGGCUGGGCUGCAUUUGAGCCCGGGCCCGUGGAGCCGCAACCUGACAGUACCGGAGUUGAAGGAGCCGGGACGCGCAAAGGCGCGUGAGUGCUCGAGGCUGGUGGAACCCGGGAGAGGAUCCGUGCCUGCGAACGGCCCGAGCAAGGUGGACUGAACUCUAAGAUUAAUCCUUCUGGAGAAGAUUAUGUUCUUGCUCAUAAGCCUGGUUUACAGAGUUCCCACUAAUCUUCAGAGAAGUCACCUCACAAACUUUGCACCAGUCACUCUUUUCCGUCCUCCUUUCAAGGUUUGUGUGCACCUGAAGCGCCCCCCUGUUGGUUGGUUCUGAGAGACUCAGAGAUUGAAGAGGGAAGUAACCUGCGCGAAUGAACGGGAACGCGCUGAGCACCGUAGUGCCGGUAUAUGAAUGGACACAAGGAGAAAAUAGUUAUACAAAGGCGACCAUGUUUGCCAAGAAGAAAUGGAUUUUAAUGGAAACCUUUUAUCUGGAACAAACUUUAAGAAGUGCAGUAAUGGACAGUGUGCUCUGCACGACUCUUCAGUCUUCGCUCUUGCAUUUAUUGUGGCCAAGUAAUUGAGCAAAGGAUUUCAAAUCAGGGUCAGCAACUUCUAUAGGAUAUAUAAAAACAAACAACAGUCCUCAUCUUUCUACCGAUCAUUUUCCUGUCUGCAAAGACAUCUACUUUCGACUCUAGAUGAUGCCCUUCAUAAGGACCUCCACACUGCAAAGGGAAUGAAACCUAAGGCUCAGGGAAAUGGGUGUGUUCAGCAGAUCUCUUCAUCCAUGCAUCAAAUGUGACCUCUCGGUGGCCUGGAGGCUUCCCUUCAUCAAGCCAUUACUAAAUUAGUAUCUAGGAGAAAUGAAACAAAGAGCCAACAUUUCAGCUCAUGGACUUUCAAGAAGACAAGUUCUUUAUAUAUUAUAGUGGACACUGUGGUCUGCCAGGUGUGUUGGCUGCUGACUCACAACUGCAAAGCUCUUUACAAAUUGUCAUCAGCAAAAGAGACACUUUACUCAGAUCAUCUCCAGGUCAGGCCUCUCUCCUGGAGCUAGUUGUUGACAACUAGCUAGUUUUAACAGUUGGCCAAUGUGAGGUUAUGAAGAUCUGGCUUCCUAUGUCUAGGUGGGACAACUCUAGAUCCAACUCCAGAGCUUCCUAUGGGAUCGACUGAGGCCUCUGUGUGAUUGCAUCCCUGGUCAACUACUCCCUCUGGCCCUUACUCCUUAAAGUUUAUGUCCCUGAGAACAUUCUCCAAUAAACCUUCCUCACCCAACUCUACAUCUGCUUCUGGGGAAAUGACAUAGGUGGGGUUGAUCCCCACAGCAGAAAUAUAUUGAUUUACAGUUCUA